RNAcentral lists this ribosomal RNA (200 nucleotides) under uncultured bacterium. RNAcentral's name for it is "partial 16S ribosomal RNA". It matches the Rfam family "Bacterial small subunit ribosomal RNA", at positions 8 to 213 of the family's 1533-position model. The record is from RNAcentral.
AGAGUUUGAUCAUGGCUCAGGACGAACGCUGGCGGCGUGCCUAAUACAUGCAAGUCGAGCGGGACUCUUCGGAGUCCAGCGGCGGACGGGUGAGUAACACGUGGGCAACCUGCCUGUAAGACUGGGAUAACACCGGGAAACCGGUGCUAAUACCGGAUAAUUCUUUCUCUCACAUGAGGGGGAGCUUGAAAGACGGCGCA